AACGAACGCUGGCGGCGCGUUUUAAGCAUGCAAGUCGAGCGGCGAGGGGGCCUCGGUCCCCGAGAGCGGCGGACGGGUGAGUAACACGUGGACAACCUGCCCCCCGGUUCGGGAUAGCCCAGGGAAACCUGGAUCAAUACCGGAUGCGAGGGCGGCCGCACAAGCGGCCGUCGGGAAAGGCGCUUCGGCGCCGCCGGGGGAUGGGUCCGCGUCCCAUUAGCUAGACGGUGGGGUAACGGCCCACCGUGGCGAUGAUGGGUAGCCGGCCUGAGAGGGUGGACGGCCACAUUGGAACUGAGACACGGUCCAGACUCCUACGGGAGGCAGCAGCUAAGAAUCUUCCGCAAUGGGCGAAAGCCUGACGGAGCGACGCCGCGUGAACGAAGAAGGCCGUGAGGUUGUAAAGUUCUUUUCGGGAGGGGGAACGAGGCUGCCAGGCAAUGGGCGGCCGAUGACGUGAAUCCCGGAAUAAGCCCCGGCUAACUACGUG
RNAcentral lists this ribosomal RNA (490 nucleotides) under uncultured bacterium. RNAcentral describes it as "bacterial SSU rRNA". It matches the Rfam family "Bacterial small subunit ribosomal RNA", at positions 28 to 507 of the family's 1533-position model. The record is from RNAcentral.